UGGGGAAUAUUGCACAAUGGGCGCAAGCCUGAUGCAGCCAUGCUGCGUGUAUGAAGAAGGCCUUCGGGCUGUAAAGUACUUUCAGCGGGGCGGAAGGGAGUAAAGUUAAUACCUUUGCUCAUUGACGUUACCCGCAGAAGAAGCACCGGCUAACUCCGUGCCAGCAGCCGCGGUAAUACGGAGGGUGCAAGCGUUAAUCGGAAUUACUGGGCGUAAAGCGCACGCAGGCGGUUUGUUAAGUCAGAUGUGAAAUCCCCGGGCUCAACCUGGGAACUGCAUCUGAUACUGGCAAGCUUGAGUCUCGUAGAGGGGGGUAGAAUUCCAGGUGUAGCGGUGAAGUGCAUAGAGAUCUAGAGGCAUACCGGUGGCGAAGGCGGCCCCCUGGACGAAGACUGACGCUCAGGUGCGAAAGCGUGGGGAGCAAACAGG
Molecule: ribosomal RNA, 429 nt
Filed under: Chloroflexota bacterium
Lineage: Bacteria; Bacillati; Chloroflexota
Description: Chloroflexi bacterium partial 16S ribosomal RNA
Rfam family: Bacterial small subunit ribosomal RNA
Source: RNAcentral